CCCGCCUCCAGGUGACACGUGCUGUGCUUCCUUACUCUGUGACCUAACGGGAGUUGUUGUUUUUCUGAGACAAGAGAAGAGAGAGCAGAGCUAUUUUUUUUAUAGCCUGAUUGUGAUUUUUCUGAGACUUCAAGAAAAAGCGUGGUGGGAGGAAAGCUGCAAUGUGGUGAGGAGGAGCUGAUUCCGCCAUGCAGCGGGAGGAAAGCAGGUGGUUCAGACGGUGCAGAUGUUGGUAAACUGCUGCUGCAGACCAUCGUGGUUCUUCGUGCUCCUCUGAGUUGCAGGAUGUCUCAUCAGUGUCCGUCUUCCUGACUGCUGGUCAGUGUUUACCUUCAGGAUGUCCAAAGACCUUCACCUUUCUAGAGCAGGAAUCACAUGAACCCUGAAGAAACAUCAGCCAAUUUUAAAAAAUGUGGCUGAUGUUCUUACAGAAUUGAAGUGCAUCAACAAUCUGUUGUUUUUAACUUCUCAAUAUGUUUAAUUAUGAUUCAUCUGAUGUUCAAGUUAUACUGAGAAUAAAGGAAUAAAGCUGUAUUCCUUC
Molecule: long non-coding RNA, 541 nt
Organism: Poecilia latipinna (sailfin molly)
Lineage: Eukaryota; Metazoa; Chordata; Actinopteri; Cyprinodontiformes; Poeciliidae
Exons: 2
Source: RefSeq, a predicted model, not a curated record